RNAcentral lists this ribosomal RNA (437 nucleotides) under uncultured bacterium. RNAcentral describes it as "partial 16S ribosomal RNA". It matches the Rfam family "Bacterial small subunit ribosomal RNA", at positions 28 to 507 of the family's 1533-position model. The record is from RNAcentral.
GAUGAACGCUGGCGGCAUGCUUAACACAUGCCAGUCGGACGGGAAGUUGUGUUUCCUGUGGCGGACGGGUGAGCAACGCGUGAGAACCUGCCCUUGGGAUGGGAACAACAGCUGGCAACGGCUGCUAAGACACCGCAGGCUGAGGAGCAAAAGGAGUAAUCCGCCCGAGGAGGGGCUAGCGUCUGAUUAGCUAGCUGGUGAGGCAAUAGCUUACCAAGGCGAUGGUCAGUAGUUGGUGCGAGAGGAUGAUCAGCCACACUGGGACUGAGACACGGCGCAGGCAACUACGGGAGGCGGCAGUGGGGAAUAUUCAGCAAUGGGCGGAGGCUUGACGGGGCAAUGCGGCGUGGAGGUAGUAGGCCCAGGGGUGAAGAACUGCUUUUCCCGGAGAAGAAGCAAUGACGGUAUCUGGGGAGUAAGCAUCGGCUAACUACGUG